UGAAAAUAUCUUUUAAUCAGGAAUAUUGGUUUGCUUGUCUUCAUAGUAACAGAAUUAAUUUGCCUAUAAAUAUAUGGUUUAUAGCACUAUGUACCAUAACAAUUCAUGUUAAAUUUUAAUCUGACGAUUAUUAAUUUAAUUUUUGAACGUUACUUUGUUAUUUUAAGAUGAUUACAAAACAGAGAAACAAUUCGUAGCCUAUAAGAGAAUUAAUUCUCAAUUUUUAUACUAUUUUCAUCAUCACAACUACACAGAAGUUAACACCAUCAAGAAGACAAAAUAUGAUCCUUUACACAAUGCAUGUUACAUAGAUAAAUGGUCCACACAUACCACAGGUCAUUAACAACAGUUGAUGUUUAUCACUAGGAUUGCAUGGACAUUACAGUUUAAAACAUUAAGUCUUCGGAUGCUAUGUGUUACAAAACCGUUGGAACUAUCGGCCUUCUUUCACUCACAGCAGUAUCAGAAGUCCCGAAGAAGCCUGAAGGUGCCUUUUUUGCAUUGAAAAUGAAAACAGUGUGUUAUUGCUAAAGGAAGACUUUCUUACUGAUUGGUCAACAAAUGAGAGAGAUUGGGAAUUUAAUUUGGACUGUAGCGAUGACGACUUGCGAUGUCUGUAUUGGGAUCCUUUGUGCGUUUACUUUGUUUUUCACACAUGUGAACUACGGAGGGUCACAUUCUGCAACUAAUUCAGGUUUUCUGAUAGUCAAAGAUGAUUAUAGUUAAAUAUGCGGACAAAAAACUGUUAGUUUUACUUGGGAAGAUUGUGAUGAAAGUAUAAAAAUGUAAUAAAGCAAUAAUAGUCAAGAAGAUAGAUGCUUGUUAAUCAAAAAUAGCGAUUGAUA
This is a long non-coding RNA of Agrilus planipennis (emerald ash borer), 845 nucleotides long. RefSeq lists it as uncharacterized. Lineage: Eukaryota; Metazoa; Arthropoda; Insecta; Coleoptera; Buprestidae. The record is from RefSeq and is a predicted model, not a curated record. The transcript is spliced from 5 exons.